Molecule: ribosomal RNA, 303 nt
Filed under: uncultured bacterium
Lineage: Bacteria
Description: partial 16S ribosomal RNA
Rfam family: Bacterial small subunit ribosomal RNA
Source: RNAcentral
AGCAGCCGCCGCGGGAAUACGUAGGGUGCAAGCGUUAAUCGGAAUUACUGGGCGUAAAGCGUGCGCAGGCGGUUAUAUAAGUCAGAUGUGAAAUCCCCGGGCUCAACCUGGGAACUGCAUUUGAGACUGUAUGGCUAGAGUGUGUCAGAGGGGGGUAGGAUUCCACGUGUAGCAGUGAAAUGCGUUGAGAUCGGAAAGAACACCAACGGCGAAAGCACUCUGCUGGGCCGACACUGACACUGAGAGACGAAAGCUAGGGGAGCAAAUGGGAUUAGAUACCCCAGUAGUCCCUGUCUCUUAUAC